AAAAAAAGUUAACUCUUUUCAGGGCUAAUGAUGCAAAUUGAUUAACGCGUAAUCAAGCCGCCAAUCUUUAUCAAAAAGUAAAAUCAUCGUUUUGUAAAAAGUUUCAACCUUUCAAUAAUACCAACAUCAUCAGGGCAAAGGCUAAGCAGAGUCCACAUGGAAGAUUGUCAAUAUUUUCCUAAAAGUAAGUCAAAAAACUCAGCAUAUAUAAUAAUUUAUAUAAAUAAAUAUUUUGGUACAUAUAUAAAUACAAAUUUUGGGCUGCACCUAUCUUUAGUAUCACCUUCUUCUCCUUUUCAAUUCUGGUUGUGGUUUCACCCAAAAUUCUUUCCUUGGAUUCUUAGGUUUCUCAAACUACCCAACUCCAGCUUUCAAGAUUGUGAUUUUUGAAAGCAACUCUCUUCCAAUUAUUUCUCAAUCAAGAAAAGUAUUCAGAAAGAAGAAAACAGAGACAUAAAGAGAUAUGAUAAAAGUAGGGAUGAUGGUUGAGUUAUUGGAAGAAUACGGAAUUGUGAUAUCAAGAAUGAGAGAGCAGCUGUUUCUCCCGAGGCGUUUGCAAUUUCCUUUGUUUUUUCAGAGUUUUCGUUCCUCUGCAGAUACAGAUUCUUCCUCUUUCCUCGUCUACUUCUAGUUAGUUAAAUUCUAUACGAACAAAUUUUAUUUUAUUUUUAGUUACCAGAUAGGGAAUUUCAUUUCUGCUAUGUUGGUCGACUUGAAUCUUUGCUAAGUUAUAGCUUUCAUACGUGUAAUGCGAGGAGAUUUUUCUGUUUCUUUCCAGUACAAAUGUGUACUUCAAAUCUUGUAGUGUGCAUCACUUUUGAUGAUGAUUCAUUUUCUUCAAAUGAAUAAAAAGAUGUUUAUACUUUCAUUGGUGCCAUUGCCUCUCAAGGAAGA
This 894-nucleotide long non-coding RNA is filed under the name Nicotiana tabacum (common tobacco). Its description in RNAcentral is "long non-coding RNA (NTAB_LNC018834)". The record is from RNAcentral. Lineage: Eukaryota; Viridiplantae; Streptophyta; Magnoliopsida; Solanales; Solanaceae.